Molecule: ribosomal RNA, 972 nt
Filed under: uncultured rumen bacterium
Lineage: Bacteria
Description: bacterial SSU rRNA
Rfam family: Bacterial small subunit ribosomal RNA
Source: RNAcentral
GGCUUAACACAUGCAAGUCGAGGGGCAUCAUAGUCAAAGCUUGCUUUGAUUGAUGGCGACCGGCGCACGGGUGAGUAACGCGUAUCCAACCUUCCCCUUAGUAGGGCAUAGCCCGGCGAAAGUCGGAUUAAUACCCUAUGUUGUGUCAUGAGGACAUCUGAAUAACACUAAAGAUUUAUCGCUAAGGGAUGGGGAUGCGUCCGAUUAGCUUGCCGGCGGGGUAACGGCCCACCGGGGCGACGAUCGGUAGGGGUUCUGAGAGGAAGGUCCCCCACACUGGUACUGAGACACGGACCAGACUCCUACGGGAGGCAGCAGUGAGGAAUAUUGGUCAAUGGGCGAGAGCCUGAACCAGCCAAGUAGCGUGCAGGAUGACGGCCCUAUGGGUUGUAAACUGCUUUUAUGCGGGGAUAAAGUGACGUACGUGUACGUUUUUGUAGGUACCGCAUGAAUAAGGACCGGCUAAUUCCGUGCCAGCAGCCGCGGUAAUACGGAAGGUCCGGGCGUUAUCCGGAUUUAUUGGGUUUAAAGGGAGCGCAGGCGGAGGCUUAAGCGUGACGUGAAAUGCCGCGGCUCAACCGUGGAAGUGCGUCGCGAACUGGGUUUCUUGAGUGAGUGCGACGUGUACGGAAUUCGUGGUGUAGCGGUGAAAUGCUUAGAUAUCACGAAGAACCCCGAUUGCGAAGGCAGUGCACGAGCCCUUUACUGACGCUAAAGCUCGAAGGUGCGGGUAUCGAACAGGAUUAGAUACCCUGGUAGUCCGCACGGUAAACGAUGGAUGCCCGCUGUUGGCGAUAUACAGUCAGUGGCCAAGCGAAAGCGUUAAGCAUCCCACCUGGGGAGUACGCCGGCAACGGUGAAACUCAAAGGAAUUGACGGGGGCCCCGCACAGCCGGAGGAACAUGUGGUUUAAUUCGAUGAUACGCGAGGACCCUUACCCGGGCUUGAACUGCAACAGACGGAUCAGAGAUG